This 68-nucleotide non-coding RNA is filed under the name uncultured Mamiellales. The record is from RNAcentral. Lineage: Eukaryota; Viridiplantae; Chlorophyta; Mamiellophyceae; Mamiellales.
AAAAAAAAAAAAAAAAAAACUGUGUCAAAAAGCGGACAAUUUUGCGUUUUUGUUCUUUUUUGCUGUUU